GAUGAACGCUGGCGGCGUGCCUAAUACAUGCAAGUCGAGCGAACGGACGAGAAGCUUGCUUCUCUGAUGUUAGCGGCGGACGGGUGAGUAACACGUGGAUAACCUACCUAUAAGACUGGGAUAACUUCGGGAAACCGGAGCUAAUACCGGAUAAUAUUUUGAACCGCAUGGUUCAAAAGUGAAAGACGGUCUUGCUGUCACUUAUAGAUGGAUCCGCGCUGCAUUAGCUAGUUGGUAAGGUAACGGCUUACCAAGGCAACGAUGCAUAGCCGACCUGAGAGGGUGGUGGACCACAGGGAGAGGAGGACACGGCCAGGCCUCCGACGGGGGGCGGCAGAAGGGAGUCUUCCGGAAGGGGGGAAGGCCGGCGGGUGCACCGCCGCGGGGGGGAGGAGGGUGUUCGGAUGGUAAAACUCUUUUUUGGGGAAAAAAGAUAGGUUUAAGUACUUGUGCACAUCUUGACGGUACCUAAAAAAAAAGCCACGGCUAACUACGUG
This 497-nucleotide ribosomal RNA is filed under the name uncultured bacterium. Its description in RNAcentral is "partial 16S ribosomal RNA". It matches the Rfam family "Bacterial small subunit ribosomal RNA", at positions 28 to 507 of the family's 1533-position model. The record is from RNAcentral.